RNAcentral lists this ribosomal RNA (304 nucleotides) under Clostridioides difficile. RNAcentral describes it as "partial 16S ribosomal RNA". It matches the Rfam family "Bacterial small subunit ribosomal RNA", at positions 1 to 312 of the family's 1533-position model. The record is from RNAcentral. Lineage: Bacteria; Bacillati; Bacillota; Clostridia; Peptostreptococcales; Peptostreptococcaceae.
UUUUAUUUGAGAGUUUGAUCCUGGCUCAGGAUGAACGCUGGCGGCGUGCCUAACACAUGCAAGUUGAGCGAUUUACUUCGGUAAAGAGCGGCGGACGGGUGAGUAACGCGUGGGUAACCUCCCCUGUACACACGGAUAACAUACCGAAAGGUAUGCUAAUACGGGAUAAUAUAUUUGAGAGGCAUCUCUUGAAUAUCAAAGGUGAGCCAGUACAGGAUGGACCCGCGUCUGAUUAGCUAGUUGGUAAGGUAACGGCUUACCAAGGCGACGAUCAGUAGCCGACCUGAGAGGGUGAUCGGCCACA